CAGCAGCCGCCGCGGUAACACGUAGGGUGCGAGCGUUAAUCGGAAUUACUGGGCGUAAAGGGCUCGCAGGCGGUUUCUUAAGUCUGAUGUGAAAGCCCCCGGCUCAACCGGGGAGGGUCAUUGGAAACUGGGAAACUUGAGUGCAGAAGAGGAGAGUGGAAUUCCACGUGUAGCGGUGAAAUGCGUAGAGAUGUGGAGGAACACCAGUGGCGAAGGCGACUCUCUGGUCUGUAACUGACGCUGAGGAGCGAAAGCGUGGGGAGCGAACAGGAUUAGAUACCCCAGUAGUCCCUGUCUCUUAUAC
Molecule: ribosomal RNA, 304 nt
Filed under: uncultured bacterium
Lineage: Bacteria
Description: partial 16S ribosomal RNA
Rfam family: Bacterial small subunit ribosomal RNA
Source: RNAcentral